CACGAAGGGAGAUAACUGUAUUGCAGUUUCCUGUCAAACGAGUAACGAAGAACGAAUAUUUCCCCUUGUAUUCCACAUUUCUUCAGUUUUGUUCAAUAUUUCCCUAAUCUGCAGUACUGUACACACUUGGUAUGAUUGAAAAUUAAGAUUUAAUAACAAUGUGCCAUUCAUGUGUAAAUAAAAUCACACGUUUCGAGUAUAACUUUAAUAAAACUGUAUAACAGUACUAUAAGGCCAAAUAAAUUGUGUAAAAAAAUAUGAACAUAUAAACAACAAAGAUAAAUCCCAUUCACUUUUAUAACAACAUGUAUGGACACAUUUUAGAACCAGUAAAAUAUGCUAAAUACUUAGGUAUCACCAUCUUAGCAGACCUGAAAUGGAACUCUCGCAUUCAACAAACCGCUGCUAAAGCAAAUAAAUCCUUGUUUCAUGAGAAGAAAUUUUAAAGACUAAAGUCCAAUCACAAACUAUUAAAGAAAGAGCAUACCAAACAUUUGAAACCGGAGAGCAUGAUUCUACAUACAAAAUCAUGUGUCUCCACUGGGAAUGGAACCUGGGACCCCUGUGUUAGAAGCCAGUGAGUAAAGCAACUGAGCUAAAGAAGUACUUCCUUAGCUCAUCUGCUUACGGCUGUGACUAAGUAUCUACCACAUGUGAUAAGGGCAGCAAUCCCAUCACACUCCCCCCCUCAAGAGGUGUGAUACCAAUACGACCCUCACAACACAUUCCCUAGCUAUAAUUCCUCUCUAAUCACCGUGGGUUUUUUAGUUGGGCACCAAUGUAAUGGGAGAGCAUGAUUCUACAUACAAAUCAUCUUUGCCUCCACUGGGAAUUGAACCUGGGACCUCUGUGUUACAAGGCAGCUUGUUAACCGACUGAGCUAAAGAAGUACAGUGAUUACUAAGCUCAACCCCUUACAGCUGACUAAGUAUCUACCUCAUGUUCUGACAUUCUAACAUGUCUAAGGGAAGCAAUCCCGUCACACACUCAUAAGACAAAAGUUAAAAUACUGUUCUACUGAAUUGGACCCAGAGACAUAUAUACACAUAUAUCAUGUAUAUAAGAGUAUGGAUUCUUAUGAAGCAUGCAUGAAAUACAUUUAUUAGUCAUUGGAGCUUCUAAUUUGAGUUUAAUAAUUCAAUUUUUCAGACAUCAUGAUAGAGAUUACUUGUAAUGACAGACUGGGGAAAAAAGUUAGAGUCAAGUGCAAGUAUCCUUUGUAGUAUUAUAUAUUUACUAUCAUUCCACAGGCCAAUAGGUGCUGACUCUCCUUCAGAUAUAUAUUAAGCAACCAAUCAGAGUCAACUAUACUUUUAUUCAAGGAUGAAUUAUCCAUUUUGAAUCCUACAUGUGCAUGUAUGUUGUUUGUCUUGACUUAGAACUAGUACACCGAAUACAUACAUGUGCUUUUCUACAUUGUACAAUGUGGUAUAUCAUUUGCCAAUUAUUUUAUUAUCGGUAAACCCUAAAUUGGUUAAAAUUAAAGGAAAAUUCACUAAUAUGAAAACAAAAUCAUGAUGUUUGUCAGUAGGUUUUUUGCUCAAAUUUUUUAUUGUGUCUAUUGAUAUAUAUAUGAUUUUACUCCAGCAUGUCCAGUGAUAGAUGUUUAAGUGUCCAUUCAAAAAUAAGAAAACAACCUUAUUACAACUAUAUCAUAUCAAACAUUCUAAUUUAUAAUUAUUUUUUUUAGAACUAAAGGUUUCUGUAAUUCAGUCCCAACAUAUUUUUUAACCAACUUGAUUUUUAAUCGUGAUGUAGUAAUACACAAUUAAAUUUCACAAAAUAUCAUACUUUCAAAAUUUGAAAUUUGAAUAUAAACAUAUAAACAUGAUAAAAAAUGUAAAAUAUUUUACAAAAUUUCAAUUUAUUCAUAUAUGCAGUAUUAAAAUUUGUGCAGUUGUACUGAUAUAAGAUAUAUAGAAUUAAACAAAAUGAUUGAUUCAAAUCCUUAUCUCUGCAGUAUUGCCUUUUCUAGACGAUCUGAUAUAUAUAUAUAUAUUUAUAGAAUAAGGAAUCAAAGAAUUCAAAUAUCAAAAAAUAUUCAACGAGUGACCGAACAACACUGUCACAUUAAUUCACGAAUGCCCGCAGCGCAUGAGUUAAUUAUCACUGCAUUGCAGUGACUUGUUCGGUAACGAGUUGAAUAUUUUUCGAUAUUUGAAUUCUUUGAUUACUUAUUCAUUUUAUUACAUUGGCAAAGGUUUUUUUUUUAUGAAAUUAAAGUACAUUCACAAUUUGUUUUGAUCAGAGGUUAUCCACGUCUUGACAACGCCUCUUGUUGUAUGAUGUCAGAGAAGUGAAAUAACCACGUAUGAUGUCAGAGGAGUGAAAUAAUCAUGUAUGAUGUCAGAGGAUGUAAUUCAUUGCAACCAAUUUAAUAAAUAUAUUUUUUAAAUUGUUUGCAAUGAGUUACAUUGAUUUCUCAGUGAAAUAAAAACCGAUAAUUUCACAUGUGAAAUAAACGUGGUUAUUUCACUUCUCUGUUGUCAUACAACAAUUGGCAUUGUCAAGAUGUCGAUAAUGUUGGAUCAAAACAAAUUGUAAAUGCGUAGAAAAGGUUAUAUCAUAGUUUUCUUCUUUAAUUUCAUAAAAAAAAAAAAUUUGCCAAUGUAAUAAAAAAAAUAACUAAUCAAAGAAUUCAAAUAUCGAAAAAUAUUCAACUUGUGACCGAACAACACUGAUAAUUAGCUCAUGCGCUGUGCGCAUUCGUGAAUUAAUGUGUUGUUCUAUCACUCCUUGAAUAUUUUCGAUAUUUGAAUUCUGGGAUUAGUUAUACUAUAAGUAUUGUACAUGUAUUUGCAUGUUGGUCUUUUUUUUUUUCUUUUUUUUUUUUAAAGACUUCUAUCAUCAUUUGAUCAUGUCUAGCAAUGUCUAGUAUAUAUGAAUAUAAAUCAAGAGCUUUACUAACUAACUGCAAUGGUCCUUAACAAUUACCAGUAUAGAUGACACAAUUGGUGACUUAAAGAAGCUGAUAGCUGCACAGACUGGAACAAAAGCUGAAAAAAUAGUUCUGAAAAAAUGGUAUGUUUUUAGCUCACCGCUCCAAAGGAACAAUAAGCUUUUGCCAUCAUUUGUUGUCCGUUGUCGUCUCUCUGGUGUAAACUAUUUUAAACAUCUUCUCUGAAACUACUGAACCAAUUCCUACCAAACUUAAGCUGAAUGAUCCUUAGGGUAUCUAGAAUAAAGUUUGUGUAUUAUUUUCUGUUUCAUUUAAAAACAUGGUAUAUGGCUAAAAAUAGAACAUAGGGACAAAAUGGAGUUUUUGGCAUAUAUCUCAUAAACCAAAGCAUUUAGAGCAAAGCUGACCUGGUGUAAAAAAGUUCAUUAUGUAAAGUUCUAUCAGCCCUGAAAUUUUCAGAUGAAUCUUCUAACCCAUUGUUGGUUUGCUGCCACUAAAUUGGUAAUUAUAGGAUUUUUAUCAGUAUUUGGUCAUUAUCUUAAAUAUUAUUAAUGAUAAAGAUAAACUGUAAACAGCAAAAAUGUUCAGCAAAAUAAGAUCUACAAAUAAGUUAAUAUACAAAAAUUGUCUAUUAACCCCUUAAGGAGUUAUUGUUAUAAGGACAAUUUUAUCAUGUUUUCUAACUUUAAAAAAUCUUCCCCAUGGUUAUUUCUUUCUGGGUGCAUUUUACAUAGACAAAUAAAAUCGUAUAAUAUAAUCAAAAUGAGGAUGUUAACUUGAUGUGUGCUUCUUCGUUACAUUUGUUUUUAGUGAUUAAUAUGAUAACAAAUGGACUGCUGUACCCCUAUUUUUGACAUUUUAACUAUUGUUCUGUUUGUUUUGUUCAAGCAUAGUGAAAUAAAUGAAUGUGAUACGACUGUCAUACAAGUAGUUUAGCUUUAUUAUAUAAAACCAGGUUCAAUCCACCUUUUUACAUUUGAAAUGCCGUACCAAGUCAGGAAUAUGACAGUUCUUGUCAUUCGUUUUUGAUGCGUUUUGUUAUUUGAUUUGCCAUGUGAUUAUGGUUUCCGAAUUGAUUUUCCUCUGAGUUCCGUAUUUUUGUGAUUUUACUUUUUCCCCUAUGAAACUACAUGAUUCUUAGGGUAUCUAGAAUAGAGUUUGUGUUUUAUUUUCCAUUUCGUCAAAAAACAUGGCCACCAAUGGCACCAUGGCUAAAAAAAAGGACAUAUAGGGGUAAAAAGCAUUCUCCAUUUGAAACUGCUGAAUCAAUUUCAGCCAAAGUUAGGCUGAAUGGGUUUCAGAAUAUCUAGUAUAAAUUUUUUACUUUAUUUCCUUGUACGUCAAGAAACAUAGCCACUAUCAUGACUAUGACUAAAAUGGAACAUAGGAGGUAAAAACCAUUUUUUUGCUUUUGACAAAAAUAUGACAGAUACAAAGAACAGUUAAAUGGAAUUUUUAAAACACUCGUUAAUAUAUAUAUUGAAAAGCAAAAUUAUCAUUGUGGAAAGAUUUUAAGCAAAAAAAAAAAACAGGUGAGCAAUUCAGGCUCUUGAGAACCUCUUGUUUAAGUUUUUUUUUAUGAAUAUAUAAGUAUUCAAAAUUAUCUGAAGAGUGGUUAUGUAUUUGAAUUAAUGUAUAUUGAAAUCACAUCUUUAGGUUUCUAAUUGAAUUUGCUUGUUAUGGAAAAAAGAGCCAUUUUAUCUGCAUAUAACAAGUCUGUACUAACUGUUUAUUUUUCUUCACAGGUACACAAUAUUCAAAGACCAUGUUACAAUAGGAGAUUGUAUCCUUUCUCAAGAUCUUAGACAGAGCAAUAAAUAAAAGGAGGUGUUGGGUUUACAUCAAUGAGACAGCAACCUAACAACACAUAAAAAAGUAGAUGUUAUCAUAGUGUCUUCAUCAAUAGACAUCUGUCUACAAUUUGUCAGGCGUUUAAAUUUUUAUAAUGUAAAAAAAAAGUUGUGGUAAAAUGAAAAAAAAAACACGUUGAAGAUCAGCAUUAAAACCACUCAAAAUUCCCUGAAGGAAAAAAGUUUACAUGACGUAACUAAAGAGCCGCAAGGCUCUUGAUUUGACUUGACUUAUAUUAUUAUUAAAUUCAAUUACAUUUUUUUAACGGGUAAAAUUUAGAUUAAUGUUUUGUCUUAUGAUGAUAAGUGUAAGGUUAAGAGGUGUGUUUGAUAAAAGAAAAUAUAUAAUAGAGUCUAUUCAGACCCACUUUUAAAGUAACAAUACUGUAAGUGUAGUGUUUAACAAAGAGCUACUUUUAAAACCUUGAAAGAAAAUGUUAAUUCCAAACAGACCCCAAACAGAACAGUUUUUAUAAACUAAUAUUAGUAAAAAUUGGAAAAUUAUGUAAAAAUAUAGACUUUAAUCUAUUAAAUGAUGUUUACUGCUAAAAUGAAAAAUAAAGCUACAUUUUCACAUUAACUAUUUUUUUCAUAACACAAUCUAUAAUCAUGAUUAUAUAAUACAUCAAAAUAUGAGAAAAAAUAGAGAAAUAAUGGUCUUUAUUUUGAAAACAGUUGAAAAACUACAACUUUGAGUGUUAAAAGAUGUCUGAAUAUCUAGACAUAAUAUGCAUAAUGAAUGAAAUAAAGGUUUGCAAUGUUUUAUUUAUUGUGUAAAUUGCUUUUGGUUACCUGAAAAAAGUGCACUCAGAAUUUUAAUAACAUGAUCACCAGAAAUCACAAUAACUAAUUUCACCUAUCAUGUCAGUUAUACAACAAUCACAAUGUUAAAUGCACACAUAGCUUUCUGAAAGACACACUAAAUUCAAUUUCAAAACAGAAACUAUUUCCAUACAAUCAAUUAGUAAUGAAGAGGAUUUGAUAUUUCAAAUUUCUGAUAAAACAUUCUCCUGGCCUUAGGGGUUAUUUACCCUUGAUCAAAAGAAUUUAUCAGUCUUCCUUAACACUAUAUUCAGAUGAAAUUAAAGAUGGUAUGAAUCUGGAACUGUAUUAUCAAUGACACCUACAUAUCAGACAUUUUUCAUUAAACAUUAAAAUCAUCAAGACAUCAUUCAAUAAUCAUAAGUCAAAUGUUAAUGUAAAUCUGUGUACAGGUUACAUGUGAUGAGACAACAAUAAAUUUGAAUAUUGUUAGUGAAGCAGUAUUUUAUAUGUAUGGAAGCUGUAUAUCUAUGUGUGACAAAAAUAUCUUUGAAAUGUUUUCAGCAUAUUUGAACAAACAUUUAGCAAUUUCAAAGAAGUUUGUUAUUUUUUUUUUAUAGUAGUGUGAAUAAUUACAGAAAUGAAAAUACAGCAUAUUGGUAGAUGUACCUGGCAAAAUAAAAAUUUAGAAUACUAGAAAAUGACAGUAUUCAUUAUUGUUUUUGUUCUUAUUCCUGACAAUUUUUACUGUUCAUACAUGUGACCUGCCAUGACAUUUGCAGGGUUAUGGAGGUAGAACGUCAUUGUUAGAAAAAUAUAAACUCGAGAUUCAAUGAAAUAAGUAUUUGUGAAAAAGAGACACUUUCCUUAGCUUUUUUUUUGCUGACGCAGAACUAUACAUUAUAUAUAAGUUUUGAAGAAGUUUUACUUUAUCGUUUAAAGUGCAAAAUAUUUGAAUCUACAUUUUAAAUUGAUACAAAAAAAAAUCAAAUUUCUGCUCUAUAGACUUCCUUUCAUAAAUGAAAUCUGAAAUAUAUCCCUAACAAAUGCGUGUUUAUAUUACAUGUUCAACAUAUUUGUUACGUUCGGAGGACAACAUAUUUGUUACGAUUGAC
Molecule: long non-coding RNA, 6626 nt
Filed under: Mytilus galloprovincialis (Mediterranean mussel)
Lineage: Eukaryota; Metazoa; Mollusca; Bivalvia; Mytilida; Mytilidae
Source: RNAcentral